This 581-nucleotide ribosomal RNA is filed under the name Porcellana sayana. RNAcentral describes it as "partial 16S ribosomal RNA". It matches the Rfam family "Bacterial large subunit ribosomal RNA", at positions 1797 to 2643 of the family's 2925-position model. The record is from RNAcentral. Lineage: Eukaryota; Metazoa; Arthropoda; Malacostraca; Decapoda; Porcellanidae.
CGCCUGUUUACAAAAACAUGUCUUUAUGUAGUUAAAUAAAGUCUAGCCUGCCCACUGAAAAUUUAUUUAAAGGGCCGCGGUAAUUUGACUGUGCAAAGGUAGCAUAAUCAUUAGCUUUUUAAUUGAAGGCUUGUAUGAAUGGUUGAACAAGAAUUAAACUGUCUUUACGCUUAAAUUUGAACUUUACUUUUAAGUGAAAAGGCUUAAAUGAAUUUAAGGGACGAUAAGACCCUAUAAAUCUUUAUAAGAUAAGUUUUUAUUUAUGAAAUAUUUAGUCAAAGCUUAUAAAUAAAAUUUUAAUUAUUUUACUGGGGCGGUAUUAAUAUAAAAUAAACUGUUAAAUAUUUUUACAAGUUAAUUGAAAGGUAAAAGGUCUUUUUUAAAAAUAAAUAGUUUAAGUUACUUUAGGGAUAACAGCAUAAUCUUUUUUGAGAGUUCUUAUCGAAAAAAAGGUUUGUGACCUCGAUGUUGAAUUAAAAUUUCUUUGUGGUGAAGCAGUCAUAAAAGAUAGUCUGUUCGACUAUUAAAUUUUUACAUGAUUUGAGUUCAAACCGGUGUGAGCCAGGUUGGUUUUUCUAUCU